This 443-nucleotide ribosomal RNA is filed under the name uncultured bacterium. Its description in RNAcentral is "partial 16S ribosomal RNA". It matches the Rfam family "Bacterial small subunit ribosomal RNA", at positions 338 to 795 of the family's 1533-position model. The record is from RNAcentral.
CCUACGGGAGACAGCAGUGGGGAAUAUUGGACAAUGGGGGGAACCCUGAUCCAGCGACGCCGCGUGAGUGAAGAAGUAUUUCGGUAUGUAAAGCUCUAUCAGCAGGGAAGAAAGAAAUGACGGUACCUGACUAAUAAGCCCCGGCUAACUACGUGCCAGCAGCCGCGGUAAUACGUAGGGGGCAAGCGUUAUCCGGAUUUACUGGGUGUAAAGGGAGCGUAGACGGCGAUGCAAGUCUGAAGUGAAAGGCGGGGGCCCAACCCCCGGACUGCUUUGGAAACUGUAUGGCUGGAGUGCAGGAGAGGUAAGUGGAAUUCCUAGUGUAGCGGUGAAAUGCGUAGAUAUUAGGAGGAACACCAGUGGCGAAGGCGGCUUACUGGACAGUAACUGACGUUGAGGCUCGAAAGCGUGGGGAGCAAACAGGAUUAGAUACCCCGGUAGUC